AAGUCGUAACAAGGUAUCUGUAGGUGAACCUGCAGAUGGAUCAUUUCGAUGAAAACCUUUUUUCUUGAGGUGUGGCUCGCACCUGUCUAACUAAAUUGGGCUACCACAUUUUAACACGGUUGCAUCGGUUGGCUGUCAAACAGUGCGCGGCAGAAAUUUAAUUAUUUUCGGCUUGCGCGCUUGCGAGACGGUCGACACUACCAAAAACACUGUUGAUACCAUAGGAUUUGAACGUAGAUGAACUCGACUGGUAAUGCGGUCGUCUAAAUCUAAAAACAACUUUUGGCAACGGAUCUCUUGGUUCUCC
This 307-nucleotide unclassified non-coding RNA is filed under the name Moesziomyces bullatus. RNAcentral's name for it is "partial internal transcribed spacer region". The stretch from base 1 to 46 matches the Rfam family "Eukaryotic small subunit ribosomal RNA", at positions 1786 to 1831 of the family's 1831-position model. Lineage: Eukaryota; Fungi; Basidiomycota; Ustilaginomycetes; Ustilaginales; Ustilaginaceae. The record is from RNAcentral.